RNAcentral lists this ribosomal RNA (94 nucleotides) under Bacillus licheniformis. The record is from RNAcentral. Lineage: Bacteria; Bacillati; Bacillota; Bacilli; Caryophanales; Bacillaceae.
UUUGGUGGCGAUAGCGAAGAGGUCACACCCGUUCCCAUGCCGAACACGGAAGUUAAGCUCUUCAGCGCCGAUGGUAGUUGGGGGCUUCCCCCUG